UGCAGUUGAGAUUUAUGUUUAUUGAUUGUUUUCAUUUUGGGUACUGAUAUUUGCAGCCUGUUCGGGGUUGGUUCCUUUAGGAGUAUAGAUUUUUUUGCACGAGGCAGAGCAUGUGGUGCUUGAGUUUCUUGUUUCUUUUUAUAUUUGGUGUGUGUACGUGUAGUGUUUUCAAAAAAUUCAUUUUUGAAUUAAAUUUUCUAUCAAUAGAGCCAGAAAAAGAUUCUUGCUUUAACCUCGAGGAACAUCAAAAUGGAUAUUUUAAGUCUUAAAUGUUGAAUUCAGUCAUUUUUAUGUGAAAUUGCAGCAGGGCUAACGGUUUUGGUGUUAUUUACUAUGAACGAAAUCUGCAAGAAAAUAAUUAGAUGAUGAUAUGCGUCCUAGAUGAGGAAUCAUUGUGCCUUUCACCUGUCUGUUCUCGAAAUCAGUUGGUAGUAUUUCGGUUUGAAUCUUUACUGCUAUGAAUUGUAAUUGCAUUUCAUUGAUGCCCUCAAGCAUGAUUGAGGUUGUUGCUAUAACUGAAUUUUGCUUGUUAGUAGUCGCAUUUAUGCUUUCUUCCCCCCUUUCCUCGGAGGACGCAUUUGAGAGUAUGCUUCGAUCGUAGUUUAUUCACAAGUGGUAUUGCUUGUUUUUGUUCUCUAUGUUCAGAGUACUGCAAUCAAUCCUGCAGAUCCAGGCAUUAUGUAUAAAUUUGAUUCUGGAUGAAUGCAUAACACCAACUCAAAUCAUGGAUUGUCGGCAAGAGAUCUUCCUGGGAAAAAUGAUGCACGUUCUUCUCUGUCGUCACUCGUCAGCUUCAAGAAGUUCCAUAAGAGCUGCUAACGCUGUCAAUAAAGGUCAACUAGAAGCAGGGAGAUUAGAUAAUCAAGUGGGCUUCUUUGACUAGAAAGUCUUGUUUUAAAAUUGGAGGAGUCUCUUACUUUUGAUUUUUACAUGCAUUGCCGCAAAAGGGAUGGAGUUGCUGAGGAGGAAGUGGGAGGUGACGAUGCUCUGCACAUUGUGCAAUGCUGAUGUAGUUAAUCUAUUAUUUUUAUUUUGAUGAUUUUAUCACGUGCUUUUUGUUAGUAUACUGUAUUUGUAAAAUAAUUCUGGAGAAAAUAAAAUAACAUAAACGAAACAGAAG
Long non-coding RNA from Nicotiana attenuata, 1120 nucleotides. RefSeq lists it as uncharacterized. The record is from RefSeq and is a predicted model, not a curated record. The transcript has 3 exons. Lineage: Eukaryota; Viridiplantae; Streptophyta; Magnoliopsida; Solanales; Solanaceae.